This 301-nucleotide signal recognition particle RNA is filed under the name Erinaceus europaeus (western European hedgehog). RNAcentral's name for it is "Metazoan signal recognition particle RNA". It matches the Rfam family "Metazoan signal recognition particle RNA". Rfam says of the family: The signal recognition particle (SRP) is a universally conserved ribonucleoprotein. It is involved in the co-translational targeting of proteins to membranes. The eukaryotic SRP consists of a 300-nucleotide 7S RNA and six proteins: SRPs 72, 68, 54, 19, 14, and 9. Lineage: Eukaryota; Metazoa; Chordata; Mammalia; Eulipotyphla; Erinaceidae. The record is from Rfam by way of RNAcentral.
GCCAGGCGUGGUGGCACCCGCCUGUAGUCCCAGCUACUUGGGAGGCUGAGGCUGGAGGAUCACUUGAGCACAGGAGUUCUGGUGUGCAGUGCACACUAUGCCGAUCAGGUGUCCACACUAAGUUCGGCAUCAAUAUGGUGACCUCCCGGGAGCGGGGGACCACCAGGUUGCCUAAGGAGGGGUGAACCGGCCUAGGUCAGAAAUGGAGCAGGUCAAAACUCCUGUGCUGAUCAAAAGUAGAACACAAAACUACUUCUAGAUUUCAAAAUUAGCAGAUUAAAAAAGUAAAAGUUAGACACAU